AUGAAGGAGUACGCCUCUGAGGUGAGAGUCAUAAGUCGGCUUCGGCACCGCAACCUUGUGCAGAUCUUUGGCUGGUGCCACGCCGGCGGCGAGCUCCUCCUGGUCUAUGAGCUGAUGCCCAACAGCAGCCUCGACGUCCAUCUUCACGGCACGAAAAAUGUACUAUGGUGGCCAGUCAGGCAUAAGAUCGUGCUGGGGAUCGGCUCUGCGCUUUUCUACCUGCAUGAGGAAUGGGAGCAAUGCGUUCUGCAUAGGGACAUCAAGACCAGCAACAUGAUGCUGGAUGCGUUGUUCAACGCCAAACUUGGCGACUUCGGGCUCGCCAGGCUCGUCGACCACGACACAGGGUCGCACACGACUGAGCUCGCUGGCACAUUGGGGUACAUGGACCCGGAGUGCACGGUCACUGGGAGAGCCAGCACGGAGUCAGAUGUCUAUAGCUUCGGCGUCGUGCUGCUCGAGAUCGUGUGUGGGCGGAGGCCCACCGCGGCUCGGCCGGACGGCACGCUGAUCCAUCUGGCGCAGCGGGUGUCGGAGCUGUACGGCCAAGGGACAAUCCUCGACGCGGCUGAUGCGCGGCUGGACGGGAACUUCCACCCCCAAGAGGUGGAGCGCGUGUUGGUCGUUGGCCUGUGGUGCACAUGCCAUGACCGGAACCUACGGCCAUCCAUAAGGCAGGCUAUCAACGUGCUGCGGUUGGAGGCGCCGCUCCCAGAGAGGUUGCCGCCUGUUGGCCAUCCGGCCGGCCCUCUUCCCAUGCCAGACUCCGAUACGGGUCACAGCUCCUGCACCAGCACCGCUCAGCAGCCAAUGUAA
This 816-nucleotide ribosomal RNA is filed under the name Triticum aestivum (bread wheat). RNAcentral describes it as "partial small subunit ribosomal RNA". Lineage: Eukaryota; Viridiplantae; Streptophyta; Magnoliopsida; Poales; Poaceae. The record is from RNAcentral.